This is a long non-coding RNA of Perognathus longimembris pacificus (Pacific pocket mouse), 671 nucleotides long. RefSeq lists it as uncharacterized. The record is from RefSeq and is a predicted model, not a curated record. The transcript has 3 exons. NCBI's taxonomy places the organism in Eukaryota, Metazoa, Chordata, Mammalia, Rodentia, Heteromyidae.
AAAAUACAUCAACUUCCAUUCAAUAUGACCUUUUUCUGAAAGGAUCAAAUGUCUACAAAACUAAACAAACAAAAUUCUGUUUAGAAUCAGAAUUUUCAAAACACAUAAUAGGCACUUUUUUGUUUUUUUUUUAAGACAGUGUAGUACAUGAAGCAUUUAUUAUUUGAAAUUAAAGUUACUUGGAUUAAGUCACUAAGUGAAAUAAAUCAUGGAGUACUUGUGUGAUAGCAAGCAGCUCGGAGACAAAUCUUAAGACUCACAGUGGAAUAAUGUCUGUGAUAUGUAAAAUAACCAACAGGUAUUAUAUGCCUGAUAAAGGAUUCGUGUAAACUAUGUAGCAAUGUACUUCAGAUGAGACACAGACACAGCCAAUGACCUCAUGAGGAGACAACAACCGUCUGUCAGAGAGGAUACCAAGAUCCACUUUGCUUGUUAGGGAUGGUGCUGAGAUGCCACUUUGUACCAUGAGGACGGCUGCAAUCAGAAAAAAGUCAGACAACAGCACAUGCAAGGGAGGGCAUGGAGAAUGGGGACCUUGUACUGCUGGGGGAAGUACAAAAUAAUGUAGCCACUGUGAGAAACUGACUGGAAUUUAUCCCAAGGCUAAACAGUCACUAUUUGACCUGCAUUUCCAGGCCUAGGAAACCACCUGAGAGAAAAGAUAAUGCACC